CUGGCUCAGGAUGAACGCUAGCUACAGGCUUAACACAUGCAAGUCGAGGGGCAGCAUUGGGAUAGCUUGCUAUUCAGAUGGCGACCGGCGCACGGGUGAGUAACGCGUAUCCAACCUUCCUGCCAGUAGGGAACAGCCCGGCGAAAGUCGGAUUAAUGCCCUAUGUUCUUCAAUGCGGACAUCUAAGUUGAAGGAAAGAUUCAUCGCUGGCAGAUGGGGAUGCGUCCGAUUAGCUUGCCGGCGGGUAACGGCCCACCGGGGCGACGAUCGGUAGGGGUUCUGAGAGGAAGGUCCCCCACACUGGUACUGAGACACGGACCAGACUCCUACGGGAGGCAGCAGUGAGGAAUAUUGGUCAAUGGGCGUAAGCCUGAACCAGCCAAGUAGCGUGCAGGAAUGACGGCCCUACGGGUUGUAAACUGCUUUUAUGCGGGGAUAAAGUGCGGCACGUGUGCCGCUUUGCAGGUACCGCAUGAAUAAGGACCGGCUAAUUCCGUGCCAGCAGCUGC
This 509-nucleotide ribosomal RNA is filed under the name uncultured bacterium. RNAcentral describes it as "bacterial SSU rRNA". It matches the Rfam family "Bacterial small subunit ribosomal RNA", at positions 19 to 518 of the family's 1533-position model. The record is from RNAcentral.